UGAAUUGGAUGCAUGCUUUUAACGUUCUUGCAUUCACUUUUAAUGCAGGAAUUAUUUAUAGAUUCAACCCACGGCCCUGCCUUGUCCUCUGAAAUCCUCCUGGAACAAGUGCUAAGACUUGUGGGUUCCUCUGCAGAACCAUGAGGACCACUCGCGUCCAAGGUCAGAACCAGCAGCGAGUCCCCUUCACUUCAGGGGUUGGUGGGCCACGUAGCAUGUCCCAUGGUAUCCCCCCACUGAGCAGCCACAAGGAGGCAGAGGUGCCCAGAGAGAAGGAAAGACCUGAGGGAGUGAUAAAAUGGUGCAGAAUCCUGCAGCCCAUCCCAGCAGCUCCAGUGUCUGAUCCUGACCCCUGGGCACAUUUCUUUAAUCAGUAACUGGACAGUCCUGAGGUGUAAACUGGGGAGAAAGGUUAAUACAUGACAGAGGACCA
Long non-coding RNA from Myotis brandtii (Brandt's bat), 433 nucleotides. RefSeq lists it as uncharacterized. The record is from RefSeq and is a predicted model, not a curated record. The transcript is spliced from 2 exons. NCBI's taxonomy places the organism in Eukaryota, Metazoa, Chordata, Mammalia, Chiroptera, Vespertilionidae.